RNAcentral lists this non-coding RNA (55 nucleotides) under pig gut metagenome. The record is from RNAcentral.
AUAAUGCGGACGGAUUUGGUUUGAUUGCAACCGCUUAAAAAAAAUGCUAAAGCAA